Molecule: ribosomal RNA, 1477 nt
Filed under: uncultured bacterium
Lineage: Bacteria
Description: 16S ribosomal RNA
Rfam family: Bacterial small subunit ribosomal RNA
Source: RNAcentral
UGGCUCAGGAUGAACGCUGGCGGCGUGCUUAACACAUGCAAGUCGAGCGAAGCGCUCACGCGGAAUUUUUCGGAAGGAAGCGGGAGUGACUUAGCGGCGGACGGGUGAGUAACGCGUGGGUAACCUGCCCCAUACCGGGGGAUAACGGUUAGAAAUGACCGCUAAUACCGCUUAAGCGCGCGAGGCCGCAUGGCCGCGCGCGAAAAACUCCGGUGGUAUGGGAUGGGCCCGCGUCUGAUUAGGUAGUUGGCGGGGUAAGGGCCCACCAAGCCGACGAUCAGUAGCCGACCUGAGAGGGUGGCCGGCCACAUUGGGACUGAGACACGGCCCAAACUCCUACGGGAGGCAGCAGUGGGGAAUAUUGCGCAAUGGGGGAAACCCUGACGCAGCAACGCCGCGUGAGUGAGGAAGUAUCUCGGUAUGUAAAGCUCUAUCAGCGGGGAAGAAAGAGGACGGUACCCGACUAAGAAGCCCCGGCUAACUACGUGCCAGCAGCCGCGGUAAUACGUAGGGGGCGAGCGUUAUCCGGAUUUACUGGGUGUAAAGGGAGCGUAGACGGCGUCGCAAGUCUGAAGUGAAAGCCCGUGGCUCAACCGCGGAACCGCUUUGGAAACUGCGAGGCUGGAGUGCUGGAGAGGUAAGCGGAAUUCCUGGUGUAGCGGUGAAAUGCGUAGAUAUCAGGAGGAACACCGGUGGCGAAGGCGGCUUACUGGACAGUGACUGACGUUGAGGCUCGAAAGCGUGGGGAGCGAACAGGAUUAGAUACCCUGGUAGUCCACGCGGUAAACGAUGAGUGCUAGGUGUCGGGGGGGCAAAGCCCCUCGGUGCCGCCGCUAACGCAAUAAGCACUCCACCUGGAGAGUACGUUCGCAAGAAUGAAACUCAAAGGAAUUGACGGGGACCCGCACAAGCGGUGGAGCAUGUGGUUUAAUUCAAGCAACGCGAAGAACCUUCCCAAGUCUUGACAUCCCGCUGCCGUACCUGGAGACAGGUAUUUUCCUCGGAACAGCGGAGACAGGUGGUGCAUGGUUGUCGUCAGCUCGUGUCGUGAGAUGUUGGGUUAAGUCCCGCAACGAGCGCAACCCUUAUCCUCAGUAGCCAGCGGCCAGGCCGGGCACUCUGUGGAGACUGCCAGGGACAACCUGGAGGAAGGCGGGGAUGACGUCAAAUCAUCAUGCCCCUUAUGACUUGGGCGACACACGUGCUACAAUGGCGUAAACAAAGGGAGGCGAAAGGGUGACCUGGAGCGAACCCCAAAAAUAACGUCCCAGUUCGGAUUGUAGUCUGCAACCCGACUACAUGAAGCUGGAAUCGCUAGUAAUCGCGAAUCAGAAUGUCGCGGUGAAUACGUUCCCGGGUCUUGUACACACCGCCCGUCACACCAUGGGAGCCGGUAACGCCCGAAGUCGGUGACCCAACCGUAAGGAGGGAGCCGCCGAAGGCGGGACUGGUAACUGGGGUGAAGUCGUAACAAGGU